Molecule: small nucleolar RNA, 72 nt
Organism: Camelus dromedarius (Arabian camel)
Lineage: Eukaryota; Metazoa; Chordata; Mammalia; Artiodactyla; Camelidae
Gene: SNORD102
Product: small nucleolar RNA, C/D box 102
Source: Ensembl
AGCUUAAUGAUGAUUGUCUCUUUUGAUGCUUUAAAGCAACGUGAAAAAAAUAUUUCACCGGCUCUGAAAGCU